Molecule: ribosomal RNA, 253 nt
Filed under: uncultured bacterium
Lineage: Bacteria
Description: partial 16S ribosomal RNA
Rfam family: Bacterial small subunit ribosomal RNA
Source: RNAcentral
GACGGAAGGUGCAAGCGUUGCUCGGAAUCACUGGGCGUAAAGGGUGCGUAGGCGGCCUGGUAAGUCUGGCGUGAAGGCCCAGGGCUCAGCCCUGGAAGGGCGCUAGAAACUGCGAGGCUGGAGUGCCGGAGGGGAGAGUGGAAUUCCUGGUGUAGCGGUGAAAUGCGUAGAUAUCAGGAGGAAUACCGGUGGCGAAAGCGACUCUCUGGACGGCAACUGACGCUGAGGCACGAAAGCCAGGGGAGCAAACGGG